GACGAACGCUGGCGGCGUGCUUAACACAUGCCAGUCGAACGGAAAGGCCCUGCUUUUGUGGGGUGCUCGAGUGGCGAACGGGUGAGUAACACGUGAGUAACCUGCCCUUGACUUUGGGAUAACUUCAGGAAACUGGGGCUAAUACCGGAUAGGAGCUCCUGCUGCAUGGUGGGGGUUGGAAAGUUUCGGCGGUUGGGGAUGGACUCGCGGCUUAUCAGCUUGUUGGUGGGGUAGUGGCUUACCAAGGCUUUGACGGGUAGCCGGCCUGAGAGGGUGACCGGCCACAUUGGGACCGAGAUAAGGGCCAGACUCCUACGGGGGGCAGCAGUGGGGAAUAUUGCACAAUGGGCGGAAGCCUGAUGCAGCAACGCCGCGUGCGGGAUGACGGCCUUCGGGUUGUAAACCGCUUUCGCCUGUGACGAAGCGUGAGUGACGGUAAUGGGUAAAGAAGCACCGGCUAACUACGUG
This 468-nucleotide ribosomal RNA is filed under the name uncultured bacterium. RNAcentral describes it as "partial 16S ribosomal RNA". It matches the Rfam family "Bacterial small subunit ribosomal RNA", at positions 28 to 507 of the family's 1533-position model. The record is from RNAcentral.